RNAcentral lists this long non-coding RNA (637 nucleotides) under Musa acuminata (dwarf banana). Its description in RNAcentral is "long non-coding RNA (MACU_LNC004172)". Lineage: Eukaryota; Viridiplantae; Streptophyta; Magnoliopsida; Zingiberales; Musaceae. The record is from RNAcentral.
UCUCGUCGAGGAAGAGAUCCUCGGGGACGCGGAAGGCUCCGUGGGCGGCGACCAUGGCGGCGCCGGCCACGAGGGCGGAGAUGAUGAUGGAUCCGACGGAGGUGAGGAAGACGACGAGGACGGAGAAGAGGACGAGGCCGCCGAGGGUCUCGCGGUCGGAGAAGGUGCGGCCGAAGAGGACGAGGGGCGGAUCGGCAGGGCGGAAGAGGUAGAGGAGGCACCAGGCGGCGAGGAGGGCGAGGAGGACGAGGAGGGAGAAGGGGUUGGUGACGAGGGAGAGGGCGAGGAUGGCGGCCACCACGGCGGCGUAGUUGACGCGGAAGUAGGCGAGGUUCUUGCGGAGGCGGGAGGUGGCGUCGGCGAGGGUGUCCGGGCGGGAGAAGGCCGAGCGGUCGGCGAGUUCGGACCAGGGACGGCGCUCGGAGAGGAAGCGGCUGACGGAGUCGGAGAGGCGGGAGAGGAAGAGCCGGAAGGCCGGAGUGGAGACCGGGGCCGUGGAACCGGCGGAGGCGGCGCCGGAGGGAGGGUCGGAGAUGGGGAGGGGAGGCGGGGAGGGGGCGGAAGACAUCAUCGGGCGUAGGUACGAACGAAGCGAGAAGGAGAGAAGAAGAGGCUGAAUAAUUCGUUUCCCAUCAUU